This 435-nucleotide non-coding RNA is filed under the name Pongo abelii (Sumatran orangutan). The record is from RNAcentral. Lineage: Eukaryota; Metazoa; Chordata; Mammalia; Primates; Hominidae.
GCAGGCCUGUCCCUUUGCUUUCUUGUUAAAACUGCGCACCGUCUGAGGCCAAUUCGAGCCUACUGGAUCCCUGGUUCCAACCCAGUAGGAUCACAGAAGCAGGGCCAUCUGCAGGAGAAAAGGUUGUUCUUUUCUACCAAAUUUUCCUGCCAUCAAAUGCUCAUCAAGUGACAAUAGAAAAAGCACCAUAGUUCUCAAGCAUCAGAUUGGGAGAAGAGUCUGCUCUCAAGAGCAUCAACUAUGUAGAAAGGCGACCACUAAAGGACAUACUUGUGGAAGAAGAAAAUUACAAAAUGAAAGAACUGGGAUGCAAGAAGUAAUGGUGAGCAUGGAAUCUGGCAAAGAUUCAAGUAAAACAAAGCAAGGACUGAGUAUAUAAAAUCAUAAUCAUAACAAAUUUUGACUAUUACAUGUAACAGCCAAUCUCUUAACUGG